CUCUGUGACUCCUACGGGAGGCAGCAGUGGGGAAUAUUGCACAAUGGGGCGCAAGCCUGAUGCAGCCAUGCCGCGUGUGUGAAGAAGGCCUUCGGGUUGUAAAGCACUUUCAGUUGUGAGGAAGGUGGUGUCGUUAAUAGCGGCAUCAUUUGACGUUAGCAACAGAAGAAGCACCGGCUAACUCCGUGCCAGCAGCCGCGGUAAUACGGAGGGUGCGAGCGUUAAUCGGAAUUACUGGGCGUAAAGCGCAUGCAGGUGGUUUGUUAAGUCAGAUGUGAAAGCCCGGGGCUCAACCUCGGAACUGCAUUUGAAACUGGCAGACUAGAGUACUGUAGAGGGGGUAGAAUUUCAGGUGUAGCGGUGAAAAUGCGUAGAGAUCUGAAGGAAUACCGGUGGCGAAGGCGGCCCCCUGGACAGAUACUGACACUCAGAUGCGAAAGCGUGGGGAGCAAACAGGAUUAGAUACCCUGGUAG
RNAcentral lists this ribosomal RNA (474 nucleotides) under uncultured bacterium. RNAcentral's name for it is "bacterial SSU rRNA". It matches the Rfam family "Bacterial small subunit ribosomal RNA", at positions 328 to 793 of the family's 1533-position model. The record is from RNAcentral.